GGGUAGGUGCCCGAGUGGUUAAAGGGGGCGGACUGUAAAUCCGCUACUUCGGUUACGUUGGUUCGAAUCCAACCCUGCCCA
Molecule: transfer RNA, 81 nt
Filed under: Candidatus Melainabacteria bacterium
Lineage: Bacteria; Bacillati; Candidatus Melainabacteria
Also listed under: 1 other name
Description: tRNA-Tyr
Rfam family: tRNA
About the family: Transfer RNA (tRNA) molecules are approximately 80 nucleotides in length.
Source: RNAcentral